Molecule: long non-coding RNA, 530 nt
Filed under: Hordeum vulgare
Lineage: Eukaryota; Viridiplantae; Streptophyta; Magnoliopsida; Poales; Poaceae
Description: long non-coding RNA (HVUL_LNC018221)
Source: RNAcentral
AACAAAAUCUCCAAUGACAAAAAAACUUCUUAAAUGUUAACAGCACAAUCCAUAAAAAAGUUUAAUGUCUAUAAGAGCAGGUGCACAAACAAAUGAGUUGCAGCAUAGAAACCAAGCAUAACAUGUGCAUUCCAACUUUUCAAGUAGAAUUUUUGUGGCGUUAGUACCUAGUUCUUGACAGGCUUGGCCAUCUUGUCGAACUACUUGCGCAUUGGAGGCUUGAGCUGUAGCUUGGUAGGGGUGUCUUGCUUGGUCUUGCUCGUGGAUAGACACCAUCCUUGUCCUCUCCCGCUGAUGGAUGGACCCAUCACGGUCUUGCUGUUCAGUAAGUCUGAAAAACCACACCAGACCACCGCAAGUUAGCUCCUUGCAGAGAAAAUCGUAAACAGCUUAGGGCCGACCAAGAACAGUGCAAGUGGAAAUAGCUUUGGAACUGAGAACUUGUAGGAGCGGCCAUUGUAGAGGUUGGAUCGUGUCCAAGUGUUCCACGGCGACUCCGCAAUGGGGCUGCAGUAGCUGGUUUGGUCGAN